CUACAGGCUUAACACAUGCAAGUCGAGGGGCAGCAUGGUCUUAGCUUGCUAAGGCCGAUGGCGACCGGCGCACGGGUGAGUAACACGUAUCCAACCUGCCGUCUACUCUUGGACAGCCUUCUGAAAGGAAGAUUAAUACAAGAUGGCAUCAUGAGUCCGCAUGUUCACAUGAUUAAAGGUAUUCCGGUAGACGAUGGGGAUGCGUUCCAUUAGAUAGUAGGCGGGGUAACGGCCCACCUAGUCUUCGAUGGAUAGGGGUUCUGAGAGGAAGGUCCCCCACAUUGGAACUGAGACACGGUCCAAACUCCUACGGGAGGCAGCAGUGAGGAAUAUUGGUCAAUGGGCGCAGGCCUGAACCAGCCAAGUAGCGUGAAGGAUGACUGCCCUAUGGGUUGUAAACUUCUUUUAUAAAGGAAUAAAGUCGGGUAUGGAUACCCGUUUGCAUGUACUUUAUGAAUAAGGAUCGGCUAACUCCGUGCCAGCAGCCGCGGUAAUACGGAGGAUCCGAGCGUUAUCCGGAUUUAUUGGGUUUAAAGGGAGCGUAGAUGGAUGUUUAAGUCAGUUGUGAAAGUUUGCGGCUCAACCGUAAAAUUGCAGUUGAUACUGGAUAUCUUGAGUGCAGUUGAGGCAGGCGGAAUUCGUGGUGUAGCGGUGAAAUGCUUAGAUAUCACGAAGAACUCCGAUUGCGAAGGCAGCCUGCUAAGCUGCAACUGACAUUGAGGCUCGAAAGUGUGGGUAUCAAACAGGAUUAGAUACCCUGGUAGUCCACACGGUAAACGAUGAAUACUCGCUGUUUGCGAUAUACGGCAAGCGGCCAAGCGAAAGCGUUAAGUAUUCCACCUGGGGAGUACGCCGGCAACGGUGAAACUCAAAGGAAUUGACGGGGGCCCGCACAAGCGGAGGAACAUGUGGUUUAAUUCGAUGAUACGCGAGGAACCUUACCCGGGCUUAAAUUGCAGAUGAAUUACGGUGAAAGCCGUAAGCCGCAAGGCAUCUGUGAAGGUGCUGCAUGGUUGUCGUCAGCUCGUGCCGUGAGGUGUCGGCUUAAGUGCCAUAACGAGCGCAACCCUUGUUGUCAGUUACUAACAGGUUCCGCUGAGGACUCUGACAAGACUGCCAUCGUAAGAUGUGAGGAAGGUGGGGAUGACGUCAAAUCAGCACGGCCCUUACGUCCGGGGCUACACACGUGUUACAAUGGGGGGUACAGAGGACCGCUACCACGCGAGUGGAUGCCAAUCCCAAAAACCUCUCUCAGUUCGGACUGGAGUCUGCAACCCGACUCCACGAAGCUGGAUUCGCUAGUAAUCGCGCAUCAGCCACGGCGCGGUGAAUACGUUCCCGGGCCUUGUACACACCGCCCGUCAAGCCAUGGGAGCCGGGGGUACCUGAAGUGCGUAACCGCGAGGAGCGCCCUAGGGUAAAACUGGUGACUGGGGCU
Molecule: ribosomal RNA, 1438 nt
Filed under: uncultured organism
Description: SSU rRNA
Rfam family: Bacterial small subunit ribosomal RNA
Source: RNAcentral